AUUGAACGCUGGCGGCAUGCCUUACACAUGCAAGUCGAACGGCAGCACGGGAGCAAUCCUGGUGGCGAGUGGCGAACGGGUGAGUAAUAUAUCGGAACGUACCUUUCAGUGGGGGAUAACGUAGCGAAAGUUACGCUAAUACCGCAUAUUCUGUGAGCAGGAAAGCAGGGGAUCGCAAGACCUUGCGCUGAUUGAGCGGCCGAUAUCAGAUUAGCUAGUUGGUGAGGUAAAGGCUCACCAAGGCGACGAUCUGUAGCGGGUCUGAGAGGAUGAUCCGCCACACUGGAACUGAGACACGGUCCAGACUCCUACGGGAGGCAGCAGUGGGGAAUUUUGGACAAUGGGCGCAAGCCUGAUCCAGCCAUGCCGCGUGAGUGAAGAAGGCCUCGGUU
Molecule: ribosomal RNA, 392 nt
Filed under: uncultured bacterium
Lineage: Bacteria
Description: bacterial SSU rRNA
Rfam family: Bacterial small subunit ribosomal RNA
Source: RNAcentral